RNAcentral lists this ribosomal RNA (253 nucleotides) under uncultured bacterium. RNAcentral's name for it is "partial 16S ribosomal RNA". It matches the Rfam family "Bacterial small subunit ribosomal RNA", at positions 524 to 776 of the family's 1533-position model. The record is from RNAcentral.
UACGAAGGGUGCAAGCGUUACUCGGAAUUACUGGGCGUAAAGCGUGCGUAGGCGGUUUGUUAAGUCUGUCGUGAAAGCCCCGGGCUCAACCUGGGAAUGGCGAUGGAUACUGGCGAGCUAGAGUACGGUAGAGGAGAGUGGAAUUCCCGGUGUAGCAGUGAAAUGCGUAGAGAUCGGGAGGAACAUCAGUUGCGAAGGCGGCUCUCUGGACCAGUACUGACGCUGAGACGCGAAAGCGUGGGGAGCAAACAGG